GACGUAGGUGGCGAGCGUUAUCCGGAUUUACUGGGCGUAAAGGGCGUGUAGGCUGCCCCUCAAGUGGUGUAUGAAAGGGCUCGGCUCAACCGGGCUAGGUUAUGCCAGACUGAGGGGCUAGAGAGCGAGAGCGGGACGUGGAAUUCCGGGUGUAGUGGUGAAAUGCGUAGAGAUCCGGAGGAACCCCAGAGGCGAAGGCGGCGUCCUGGCACGCAUCUGACGCUCAGACACGACAGCAUGGGGAGCGAACGGG
This 253-nucleotide ribosomal RNA is filed under the name uncultured bacterium. Its description in RNAcentral is "partial 16S ribosomal RNA". It matches the Rfam family "Bacterial small subunit ribosomal RNA", at positions 524 to 776 of the family's 1533-position model. The record is from RNAcentral.